This 253-nucleotide ribosomal RNA is filed under the name uncultured bacterium. RNAcentral's name for it is "partial 16S ribosomal RNA". It matches the Rfam family "Bacterial small subunit ribosomal RNA", at positions 524 to 776 of the family's 1533-position model. The record is from RNAcentral.
UACGAACUGUGCGAACGUUAUUCGGAAUCACUGGGCUUACAGGGUGCGUAGGCGGCUAUUCAGGUCAGGUGUGAAAGCCCCCGGCUCAACCAGGGAACUGCGCUUGAAACCGAGUGGCUCGAGUCAGCUAGAGGUACACGGAACUUCCAGUGGAGCGGUGAAAUGUGUUGAUAUUGGAAGGAACACCGGAGGCGAAAGCGGUGUACUGGGGCUGGUCUGACGCUGAGGCACGAAAGCCAGGGGAGCGAACGGG